Molecule: non-coding RNA, 1787 nt
Organism: Macaca mulatta (Rhesus monkey)
Lineage: Eukaryota; Metazoa; Chordata; Mammalia; Primates; Cercopithecidae
Source: RefSeq, a predicted model, not a curated record
AAAAUAUAGGUUAAGUGGCAUACACAGAUUUCUUAGUGAGAUCCUAAGGGCCUACAGAGACAGGCUGACACCAACUCAACCCUUGAAACUGAGCAAUGAAGAGCCUGUGGGAGGCUAAAAAAUGCUGCUUCAAAAAGAUGUCCUUGUCUGUGAAUGUUAAUUUAGGUUAAUUUGCAGAUUUGAUUAAGGGUCUUGAGAUUAUUUUGGAUUAUCCAGGUGGGCUCUAGGGCCCUAGAUGCAAUCACAAGUGUCCUUAUAACAGGGAGGCAGAGGAAAAUUAAACAUGCACACACGAGAGAGAGAGAGAGAGAGAGAGAGAGAGAGAGAGAGAGAGAGAGAGAGAGAAAGAGAAAGAGAAAGAGAAAGAGAAAGAAAGUAAUAUGAAGACAGCAGCAGAGAUUGGAGCUUGGCAAUAGCCAAGCUAUGUCAGCAGCCGUCAGAAGUUGGAAGAGGCAAGGAAGGAUUUGAGCCUAGAGCCUUCGGAAAGAGCAUGGCCCUGUUGAUUCUGGCCUCCAGAACUGUGAGAAAAUACAUUUUUGUUGUUUUAAACCACCCAGUUUGUGGUAAUUUGUAACACCAGCUACAAGAAAUCAACACAAGGCUGAUGUGACUUUCCAUCAGGAGAGAGACAGCCCCAGGUGAAACCUGCCUGCCUGACAGCUUUCCCAGCCUCCUCCAGGCUCCCCUGUUUUCUCUUAUACACAUUCCCCCCCAGUAAACUUCUUGUACAUUUAAUGCCAUCUCAGUGUCUGCUCCCAAGAGGACCCCAACUGACUCACUGGGGCAUUUAAACUCCAAUUCCUUUCCUCCCUUGGCUGAGAUCUGUUCCAAGAAGUAUCUCCAGGACACUCCAGCCUGUUGCACAGGCCAAAGAAAAGCCCUCAGGCAGAGGAGCAAGUACUUGCAAGAGGACACCAGUGGCAAGAACAGGGACAUGGUGAGACAUCAACAUCAUUGGCUACAGUAGUACUAGUCACUCUUGACUAUGUUGUUUCAAUAGUUUUCCUUCUCAAAAACAUUUGUCACCUAUUUUGGAGUUAAUUCAAAGGACUGCUCCAAAAGAAAAAACUAAAAAGCAAAACCAGCUUUAUUAAAAUGGUUCUGGAUUUAUCUUUUGAGAAUUCCUUUCAUAAGAAAUAAUGUCCUUAAGCUAUAUCAGGAAUAAAAAUGUUCUGCUUGAGAUAGAAAAACCAUUGGUUUUAUGUACCCUACAUCAAAUUCCUAGUGUGAUGUUCAAACCCAUUCCUGAAACCUAUAGCCUGAUAGAUUUCAUAGGAUAAAAAGCCUGAGUUUAAGAGUUCUUAAAAGCAGAGUAAUUAGUCUAAUGGGUUUGGAAAUAAUAUGCAGUUUAAGGCCUAAAUGAUCUGCAUGUGAUACAUAUACAUGUUUAUAUGUUUUAUUCUACUUAAAAUGAGGAAUAGGUGUUCUGACUUUAAUUCUACUUAGUAGGCCAGUAAGGUGUAACAGAAAAUUCAUCCAGAAUGAAUACUGUUUUGGUUUGGCUGUUUCCCAACCCAGUCGCACCUUGAAUUGUAAUAAUCCCCACAUGUCAAGGGCAGGACCAGGUGGAGACAGCUGAAUCAUGGCAGGUGGUUUCUGCCAUGCUGUUCUCCUGCUAGUGGGUUCUCAUGAAAUCUCAUGGUUUUAUAAGGGGCUUCCCCCUUCCCUCGACACUCAUUCUUUCUGUUGCCACCCUGUGAAGAUGUGCCUUUCGUCAUGAUUGUAAGUUUCCUGAGGCCUUCCCACCCAUGCAGAACUGUGAGUCAAUUAAACCGCUUCAUAAAUUA